CCAUGGCCUGAGCUCCGCGGAUACGACGCAUUACAUGUCGGGGAAGGGACUCUACGCAUUCAACACCAUGAUCACAUGUGAUGCCGACCUCUGGAUGUCAGUCCAUGUUUCCUGGGGUCAUGUCAUGACUCGUGGGUAUGGCGGGGGAGCCCUCUCCGUCAGCACCUGGAAGCAAAACUUCGGCUUGCUUGGAGACUCCAGCUAUACAUUAGAACCGUGACUCCUGACACCAGUGCCCGGACGCCCAGCUCGUGGCACCCCUGAUAACCACUACAACAAGGCCCACACCGCCAUGCGCAAUGUUGUGGAGUGGUGCAACGCUGUAAGCUUGUGCAGAGCUGCACAAGCAUCAUUGCUGCUUGUGCAGCUCUGCACGACAUUGCGUUGGCGGCACAUAAGCCUGUUCUCGAAGGGGACGAUGACGACACAGACGAUGCUGAGCUGCUGCCAGCAGCAGCUGAGCUACCACCACCACCACCACAACGGGAGCCAGCAGCAGCGCAACCGUGUAGUGAACCUGUUUCGAGAACCACUGGGCCUGCAUGCUUGAGCAUCUGCGCAGAGUACGCCGCCGCCUGCAACGACCUCGGCAGCAUUGUGUGGUGGCUUCCGCUGCAAUGAGGGCCCGGGCGAGGGUACCAACGCCUUGCAGUUCGUGGACCACGUCACCGAGAAGUUGAACCUGGCGCAGCUUUCCAAUGAUGCCUGGC
Molecule: long non-coding RNA, 710 nt
Organism: Rhipicephalus sanguineus (brown dog tick)
Lineage: Eukaryota; Metazoa; Arthropoda; Arachnida; Ixodida; Ixodidae
Exons: 4
Source: RefSeq, a predicted model, not a curated record